This 487-nucleotide ribosomal RNA is filed under the name uncultured bacterium. RNAcentral's name for it is "partial 16S ribosomal RNA". It matches the Rfam family "Bacterial small subunit ribosomal RNA", at positions 28 to 507 of the family's 1533-position model. The record is from RNAcentral.
GACGAACGCUGGCGGCGUGCUUAACACAUGCAAGUCGUACGAUGACCCGGCUCUUCGGAGCUGGUGAUUAGUGGCGAACGGGUGAGUAACACGUGGGUGACCUGCCCUGCACUCUGGGAUAAGCCCGGGAAACUGGGUCUAAUACUGGAUACGACCAGUGGCCGCAUGGUCUGCUGGUGGAAAGCCCUUCGGGGUGGUGUGGGAUGGGCCCGCGGCCUAUCAGCUUGUUGGUGGGGUGAUGGCCUACCAAGGCGACGACGGGUAGCCGGCCUGAGAGGGUGUCCGGCCACACUGGGACUGAGACACGGCCCAGACUCCUACGGGAGGCAGCAGUGGGGAAUCUUGCACAAUGGGCGAAAGCCUGAUGCAGCGACGCCGCGUGAGGGAUGACGGCCUUCGGGUGGUAAACCUCUUUCGGCAGGGAACAAGCCUGGGGGGUUUCUUCUGGGUGAGGGUACCUGCGGAAGAAGCACCGGCUAACUACGUG